Molecule: ribosomal RNA, 467 nt
Filed under: uncultured bacterium
Lineage: Bacteria
Description: partial 16S ribosomal RNA
Rfam family: Bacterial small subunit ribosomal RNA
Source: RNAcentral
ACGAACGCUGGCGGCGUGCUUAACACAUGCAAGUCGCACGGAAAGGCCCUGCUUUUGUGGGGUGCUCGAGUGGCGAACGGGUGAGUAACACGUGAGUAACCUGCCCUUGACUUUGGGAUAACUUCAGGAAACUGGGGCUAAUACCGGAUAGGAGCUCCUGCUGCAUGGUGGGGGUUGGAAAGUUUCGGCGGUUGGGGAUGGACUCGCGGCUUGUCAGCUUGUUGGUGGGGUAGUGGCUUACCAAGGCUUUGACGGGUAGCCGGCCUGAGAGGGUGACCGGCCACAUUGGGACUGAGAUACGGCCCAGACUCCUACGGGAGGCAGCAGUGGGGAAUAUUGCACAAUGGGCGGAAGCCUGAUGCAGCAACGCCGCGUGCGGGAUGACGGCCUUCGGGUUGUAAACCGCUUUCGCCUGUGACGAAGCGUGAGUGACGGUAAUGGGUAAAGAAGCACCGGCUAACUACGUG